UACGUAGGGGGCUAGCGUUGUCCGGAUUUAUUGGGCGUAAAGCGCGUGUAGGCGGCCAAGUAGGUCCGGUGUGAAAACUCGAGGCUUAACCUCGAGAUGUCAUCGGAAACCAUUUGGCUAGAGUCCGGAAGAGGAAAGUGGAAUUCCUGGUGUAGCGGUGAAAUGCGUAGAGAUCGGAAAGAACACCAGUGGCGAAGGCGGCGACCUGGAUCUUAACUGACACUGAGGUGCGAAAGCGUGGGGAGCAAACAGG
Molecule: ribosomal RNA, 253 nt
Filed under: uncultured bacterium
Lineage: Bacteria
Description: partial 16S ribosomal RNA
Rfam family: Bacterial small subunit ribosomal RNA
Source: RNAcentral